Xiphophorus couchianus (Monterrey platyfish) is the source of this 1530-nucleotide non-coding RNA. Lineage: Eukaryota; Metazoa; Chordata; Actinopteri; Cyprinodontiformes; Poeciliidae. The record is from the annotation of a RefSeq genome assembly.
CUGAAACAUAUAAGUAUGACCUGUACAUGCCUAAAGCUCCUCCUCCCUCCUGUCAUUGUGAUAUUAAAUGCCUCCUCCAGCAUCUCCUCCUCAUCUUCUAAACUCUCAUCUGUCAGCAGUAAAGUCACUUUACAAGCUCCAAGAUUAUUCUCAGCACACACUGACAUCAUGCUGGGGACCCUCUGCGCUCUCAUCACUGCUCUAACAUGUGUGAGAGGAGCGACUGUGGUGACACAGACUCCUCCUGUUGUGACAGUGAGGAAAGGAGAAACGGCCACCAUGGACUGUAACCUAGGGAGUGUUACUGACAGCAGUGCCCAAUGGUACAGACAGAUCCCAGGAGAAGUUCCUCUAUAUAUGCUCAGGUUUUAUCAUGGCUGGAGUGCACCCAAAUAUGACACUGGGUUCCCUUCUGCAAGACACACAUCUACUCAUCAGUCAACAUCAGAUUACCGUUUGCAUAUCAGCGGUGUGGAAGAAGGAGAUUCUGCAGUUUAUUACUGUAGCACAUGGGACAACUCUGCUAAAGAGCGGGUAUCACAGUGAUUCACACUGUGACAAAAACCUCCCCAAUAGCACUUCUGCUUUUUCUCUCACUAAUACAUAAACCAAGUGGAGCCACAAGCAAUAGCUUCAUCCAACACACAGCAUAUAUUUUUUUUAGCAUUUACCCUCUUUAAAGGUUUUUUUUAUUAAUAAAUAAAACCAGCAAGUACUACAUUAUGUCUGCAAAAUUAUUUACUUAAUCUUACUUAAACAGUACAAUAACAAAUAUCUCUUACAUGUCACAAGUCUAAAAAAAAUAGAUAUUGCACUAAUAUUAAGCUCAUAUUAAAACUGACUAACAAUAAAUAUUACCUAAUAAAAUAAACAGAAAAUGUGUUAAAGGACAAGAAAAAAAACAGACUAAAAUAUGAUUUAUGCAGAUUUGAUCAAAAUUCCUUAAUGGUAAUUUAAUAUCUGGAGCAGAGAUUAUGUUAUCAUUAAGUUAUGUGUUGAAAUUUAACUUUCAACACAUAACUGUGUUGAAAGUUACCGCUGGAAACUUAUUACCGUUGAAACUUAGGUUCUUAAUUUACAUGAAAGUUUAAUCAUGGAGAUGAUGUCUGCAGCUGCAUCCUGUGAGAACAGAGAAUGAGAUGUAGAUAGGUGAUGCUUCAUUGACAGAAGAUGAAAAUUCAGUUUAAUCUUUUCUUUCAAGUAUUUUACACCACUAAACCAGAUUCUUAUUGAUUAAUAUUCUCCUCUGCUUAUAGUACAAAUUUAUGGCUAAAACUUACUCUGUUAUGAAAACGUUUUAGAUUACAAUGAGUUAAAUAGUGGUUUUUGUUUCUUCAAAUUAUGAAAUCAAAAAGAAAUAUUUGAUUUAUGAUUGAGGCAGUUGUGUUUAUCUUCUAUCAACCACAAGCAAAAAUUUUAAGCUGUUUUACAAUUUGUUUGCCUUGUUUACUGUUUUUUCUUUUAUAGUGUUUAGAUGUUUUCAAUAACCUCCCCUUCUACAUUGCUUUUUAAUAAACACUUUCAUAUGAA